ACCUUUUGACUUCUCCAGUAGCAAGAAUGAGACAAAUUCAGUUCAAUUUUCUUUGUCUAGCACUUUUAAUAAUGUCACAAAGUAACUUUAUUGAAAUAUGGAUGGAGAUUUAGAACCCUAACAAGGAAUCCAGAUACGACAGUGACUAUGUUUGAAUGCAUAUCAAUAUUUCGAUAUUAAUCUAAAUUUAGCAAUACUCUAAGUAGUAUUGAGUCAUGUAAACGCCACAGUCCGACUGCCUGAUUGAGAUUAAGACAAUAUUCUGCAACACGAAUAUAGAGCUUAAAUGGAAUUUGGGUAGGGUUAGGGGUUAGGGUUAGGGUUUGGGGUUAGGGUUUGGGUUAGGGUUUGAGGUUAGGGUUAGGGUUUGGGUUAGGGGUUAGGGUUAGGAGUUAGGGUUAGGGGUUAGGGUUAGCGGUUAGGGUUAGGGUUAGGGGUUAGGGUUUGGGUUAGGGGUUAGGGUUAGGAUUAGGGUUAUGGGCUAGUGUUAGGGUUGGGGUUAGGGUUAGCGGUUAGGGUUAGGGUUAGGGGUUAAGGUUUGGGGUUAGGGUUAGGAUUAGGGUUAUGGGCUAGUGUUAGGGUUGGGGUUAGGGUUAGCGGUUAGGGUUAGGGGUUAAGGUUUGGGGUUAGGGGUUAGGGUUAGGAUUAGGGUUAUGGGCUAGUGUUAGGGUUGGGGUUAGGGUUAGGGGUUAAGGUUUGGGGUUAGGGGUUAGGGUUAGGAUUAGGGUUAUGGGCUAGUGUUAGGGUUGGGGUUAGGGUUAGGGGUUAAGGUUUGGGGUUAGGGUUAGGGGUUAGAAUUAUCUCCCUGAGACGACACGAGGAAGAAAAGACGAAUCAAACAUAAAAGCGAACACAUCCUUUUCUGGGUCACAGCGGAUAGUGCUAUUAUAAAUCAUUACUCAUCUCCAGCUGCAUACUCUAAAGUUAAACAGUAUUACGUGUGUUGAAAAGAUUUUCAGUUCGAGCAUCACAGUCUUUAUGAUAACAGCAACAGUUCUUAGGUACAAAUCAGCGUGUACAGGUAAGAUUACACUGAAGCGCUGAGGCGAGGGAGAGAUCAUCAACAGCAGCAGAAUAAGUAAGUAUUCAUUUCUGUAACAGAAAUUCUGCUUAGAAUUCCCAUGACUCUUUGUUUCUUUUUAGUGUUCAUUACACUGACUUUGUUAUAUAUUUAUCUAUAUAUCUAAAACAACUCAUCAUCAUCAUCAUCAUCCUGUCUCAGUUGUAAAUCAUAAAUUCUGUGCCAAACAGGAUAUAAUGUAAUGUAAUGUACAUUCUAAAUCAAUUUUUCUCAAACUUUUUAAAGCUAGGGUAAAAUGAAUUCUGGUACCCCCUCAUUACAGAUUUAUUCCAUGAACAUUAUUUAAAUGUCUACAAUAUACACGGUAUACACCAUCCACUUUAUUACCAUCCACCUGUACACCUACACAUUCAUGCAGUUAUAUAAUCAGCCAUUCUGUGUAAACUCUAGAGACUGUUGUGUGUGAAAAUCACAGGAGAUCAGCAGUAUCUGAAAUACUCAAUCCAGCCCAUCUGGCACCAAAAACCAUGCCACGGAUAAAGUCACACAGAUUAAAAUUUCCCCCCGCAUUUUGAUGUUUGAUGUGAGUAUUAACUGAAGCUCUGGACUUGUAACUGCAUAAUUGCAUGCAUUGUGCUUCUGCGACGUGAUUGGCUGAUCAGAUAAGGUCCAGGUGUACAUGUUUUCCUAAUAAAGUGGACAGUGAGUGCAUAUUUUCUCUAAUUAUUAGAGCCAUAAAGUGUUCUACUCCUGAACGUCCCACUCGAGAAACACAAUACGUCAAAUCUCAUUCUAGUUACAGAUCAGCAUGUUUGAGCGUCUACUGUUUGACGUAAAACACGCAGUCAAACAAGUUAACAGGAAACAUGUUCAUCAGUUAUAAAUGCAACAACUGGUAAUUGUGCGCUUUGUUUUCCGUCACUUUAGCAAAAAAAAUUAAAAACCAUGGGAAAUCCUUUUUCCUUUUCUAAAAAUCCCAAUGUAUUUCCUUUCCCUAUUUAAUUUGCAUCCUUUGAACUACAAGCAAAUGUUGGACUGGUUCCACUAAAAUAUUUAAACAAGACACAUAGAGAACUCACCUGAUCGUCCAGCCCUGCAUGUCACAAGACUGGUUUUACACACACACAACCACACACACACACACAGAUAUAUAUAUA
Molecule: long non-coding RNA, 2178 nt
Organism: Ictalurus punctatus (channel catfish)
Lineage: Eukaryota; Metazoa; Chordata; Actinopteri; Siluriformes; Ictaluridae
Source: Ensembl